This 253-nucleotide ribosomal RNA is filed under the name uncultured bacterium. Its description in RNAcentral is "partial 16S ribosomal RNA". It matches the Rfam family "Bacterial small subunit ribosomal RNA", at positions 524 to 776 of the family's 1533-position model. The record is from RNAcentral.
UACGUAGGGUGCGAGCGUUGUCCGGAAUUAUUGGGCGUAAAGAGCUUGUAGGCGGUCUGUCGCGUCUGCUGUGAAAAUCCGGGGCUCAACCCCGGACUUGCAGUGGGUACGGGCAGACUAGAGUGUGGUAGGGGAGACUGGAAUUCCUGGUGUAGCGGUGGAAUGCGCAGAUAUCAGGAGGAACACCGAUGGCGAAGGCAGGUCUCUGGGCCACUACUGACGCUGAGAAGCGAAAGCAUGGGGAGCGAACAGG